UUCAAUUCGCCCUCUGCUUUAUAAUAUAUAUACAUACCCGCGCAAUUUUUUUCGUAUGAGGCUGACCCACCUAAUUAAUAAAUCUUCAAUAUUGCUCUUUUUCCACAAUGACAAAAGAAAUUAGACGUCAUUUUCAUCUUGAGCAAAAAAUAAUAAAAAAAUAAAAGUAAAAAGUCAUUUAAAGGUCAUAUUUGAGCAGUUUUGAAUAGUUAAAGGUCAUAUUUGUGCACUGUCAAAGUUUAAGGUCAUAUUUAUGUAUUAUGUCCUUAGAUUUUAAGUUGAACGCGCCCAGUUUUGCGUGUUGAACACGCGUUUUGCCAAAUAGGAUUAGAGGUCAUAUUUGUGCAGUUUUGAAUAGUUAAAGGUCAUAUUUGUG
This 376-nucleotide long non-coding RNA is filed under the name Capsicum annuum. Its description in RNAcentral is "long non-coding RNA (CANN_LNC008604)". The record is from RNAcentral. Lineage: Eukaryota; Viridiplantae; Streptophyta; Magnoliopsida; Solanales; Solanaceae.